This is a long non-coding RNA of Bactrocera neohumeralis, 737 nucleotides long. RefSeq lists it as uncharacterized. The record is from RefSeq and is a predicted model, not a curated record. NCBI's taxonomy places the organism in Eukaryota, Metazoa, Arthropoda, Insecta, Diptera, Tephritidae. The transcript is spliced from 3 exons.
AAAAUAAUAAUAAACGUCGUAAAAACUUCGCUUCACUGAGUGUGUACGAAAUAAAGGAAAUUGCUUUUAUGACUUCUGUGACGUUGGUAGUGUUGUUGUCACUGCUGGUGUUAUGUCGACUGUCGUGCGGAUUAAAAACGGAGGCAGCAAUUGCGCGACACAGCAGCAAGUAAUGCUAUAAAUUGCGACACACGCACAGAAUACGACGAAAAUGUGCGGCUUAAAAAGCCUUGUGAAGGGCAGGUAAUGUAAGGUAACUUAACGGCAACGUUGCAAAUAUACAUAGUUGAUAAAAUCGGAUUGCACUUGGAUUAACUUGGAGGCAGUCAGUCACUUUAAGUUAAGUCGCUCAGUCAUCUAGUUUAGUAAAGUUAACGGAAUGGAGUGGCAUAAAUAGCGAGUGAAAGUGUUAUGUGUCUCCAGCGGCAGCGUAUCAGCACAUUAAGCACGCAUGCGAUUGCAAUGUUGACAGACGUCAAAAUGGAAGGAUGGAGUUUAUGGUAAAAUUACAUGUUUUGUAAUUUCAUAAUCAUAAACUGCACUCCGUUCAAGGUCAUUAUCAAGUUUGAAAGUACUGGAGUUUGACAACCAAUCGAGAUACGAAAAGUGUUAAUUCUCGUUAACGUUCUGUUGAUGUGGCUGAAAUUUCGAAGAGAGUACAACUUGUUGGCAAAGGACAACAUUUUACUGUCAACAACUGAUGAGAUUGAAGCAAGCAAUCGAAAAAAAAGCGCCAG